Long non-coding RNA from Astatotilapia calliptera (eastern happy), 1782 nucleotides. Lineage: Eukaryota; Metazoa; Chordata; Actinopteri; Cichliformes; Cichlidae. The record is from Ensembl.
GCAUCAUGCUGGAUAGGAUACGGAUUUUGGGCAAGAGGUGGAUGUGAGCGUGGUGGCGGUGGUGUGCUGGAUGUGGUCGCGGCCGGACAGACUAAAACCUGCGCCUGGCUCUACCCGGAACCAUUAUGCAGACAGGAAACAACCAUUUUAAGGCCAGGAGCAUCCGAGGAGCCGUCGUCUACAGAGGGGGGGGACACCUAAAGCUGACACGGGGCGGAGAGCAACCAGCCGGGGAGAAAAGAGGGAAUAACACGACGGGAACAAAACAAAGGCUCCGUGUGAGGGAAGAGGAGCAGUGAGCCACUCCAGCUGCAUGACUCUACUGUCACACAGACAAUGGACUUAUCGGGGCAGGCCAGCGGAAACAGUUUUUGUUAGCGAGAGAAAAGCAGCCCUCCCGGGCCGAUGGAGAGCCAGGCCUCUCACUCCGCUUUUCCCUGGAUGAAGAAAAAGGCCCCGCUGACAGGCUUUAGGGACCCCGUUCUCGCGGUGCACAGCCACCUUCGUGUGUUCACAUUUUUACUUCCUUGGUUCUGAGUCUGUUUUUUCGCACCCAGACGUCGCAUGCUACGAGAUUGUGGACCUGAAGUCACCGGUUUUCCCCGGACUGUCCUCCCCCCUCAUUCAGCGCCGUGGUCCAGCCAGCAGGGUGCUCCAGAUACAGACCUGUGGAUCAGCCGAAGUGUACUUUGGAUGCAUAUUUUUGUUCAAUAUCUAAUGUUAAUCUAUUUGCUUGAAUUUUUGUUUAAUUGGGUAUAAAGGGAGACAAAACUUAAGAAGUAAAAAAACAAACAAAACAAAACCAUUAAAUUUUAAACAUUAGAAAUGGCUUAAAUUGCUGCUAUUACUGCUGUUUCUUACCGCAUUAUAAGUAUUGUGGUUUUGGGGCUGCUGGAUGACAAAAUUAACCUUUUAAUGACAGCUCCUGCUGUGAGAUGUUUGUGAUGAUAUUUUCCAGAAGACAUUUUCUAAAUGCUUUCCUUCAGCAGACAUUAUUGGUAAUAAAUGCACUCAGUUGAGCUCUUCCUUAGUAAUGCCACCUGAUGAUAGACGAAGCAGUGCAGUCUACUUUGCAUUGUCACGGGAAUUUGCAUGUAUUGACCCAGUGAAGCAGAAAACAUGUAAAUAUGAUUUUUUUUUUUUUUUUAAUCCUAAUGUUCCGCCAAAUCUGUUUUACUUUUCUGGAGAUAAAUAUUUAACUUUACCAGUUCACAAAUUUUAAGAUUUUCUGGUGUUGUGGUUGCUGUUGCAUUUUUUAUUUUUUAUUUUUUUUUGCAGCACCAUUAUGGCAUUUUAUGCUUUACAUUGUUUAUAGCUCUCUAUUGUAUGUUCCUCUGAGUUUUGUGCAGAAUAAGAGUGAAAUGAGCGUCCACCACAAGUGCACAGAGCCUGGAAAGCCUGUGUUGACAUACAAAUCUGAUAACCACCAGUGGGAUACCUGUUAUCUCUGACCUGGGUUUUAGCUGUUGUUGAACCAAAUAACAGAGAAAUCCUGACUACGUUGAGCUUGCUUCAUAGUAUUCACCCCAGAUACAGGCAGUUUUUUUAAAUAUUUUAGUGUAACAUAACUGAUUGAGUGGAGCCACUAAAGCAUGUUGCUCAAGUUCUUACAUUCAGUAAGAAUUUGUCCUUAUGAAUGUAAAAGGCCUUCAUCAAACCACCUGUGUGCAUAGUUAAAAUGUGAAAGAAAAUGGUAUAUUCUCUGCUCCUAUUAACCAGAGGUUUGUUUUUAUUUUGAACAAAAUAUAAAUUGACUAAUGAACACUAUAAGCUAAUGUGGAU